This 468-nucleotide ribosomal RNA is filed under the name uncultured bacterium. Its description in RNAcentral is "partial 16S ribosomal RNA". It matches the Rfam family "Bacterial small subunit ribosomal RNA", at positions 28 to 507 of the family's 1533-position model. The record is from RNAcentral.
GACGAACGCUGGCGGCGUGCUUAACACAUGCAAGUCGAACGGAAAGGCCCUGCUUUUGUGGGGUGCUCGAGUGGCGAACGGGUGAGUAACACGUGAGUAACCUGCCCUCGACUUUGGGAUAACUUCAGGAAACUGGGGCUAAUACCGGAUAGGAGCUCCUGCUGCAUGGAGGGGGUUGGAAAGUUUCGGCGGUUGGGGAUGGACUCGCGGCUUAUCAGCUUGUUGGUGGGGUAGUGGCUUACCAAGGCUUUGACGGGUAGCCGGCCUGCGAGGGUGACCGGCCACAUUGGGACUGCGGUACGGCCCAGUCUCCUACGGUAGGCAGCGGUGGGGAAUAUUGCGCAGUGGGCGGACGCCUGAUGCAGCAACGCCGCGUUCGGGAUGUCGGCCUUCGGGUUGUAAACCGCUUUCGCCUGUGACGAAGCGUGAGUGACGGUAAUGGGUGAAGAAGCACCGGCUAACUACGUG